Molecule: non-coding RNA, 86 nt
Organism: Trametes punicea
Lineage: Eukaryota; Fungi; Basidiomycota; Agaricomycetes; Polyporales; Polyporaceae
Source: the annotation of a GenBank genome assembly
GGCCUGGUGGUCUAGUAGUAUGAUUCCUUCUUAGGGCGUGCCUCGCAAUUUGGAGGAGGUCCCGGGUUCAAUUCCCGGCCAGGCCC